GUGUCAGCAGCCGCGGUAAGACGAACCGUGCAAACGUUGUUCGGAAUCACUGGGCUUAAAGGGCGCGUAGGCGGAUAUUCAAGUCGGUGGUGAAAUCCCCCAGCUUAACUGGGGAACUGCCUUCGAUACUGGGUAUCUCGAGUAAGGUAGGGGCAUGCGGAACUGAUGGUGGAGCGGUGAAAUGUGUUGAUAUCAUCAGGAACUCCGGUGGCGAAAGCGGCGUGCUGGACCUUAACUGACGCUGAGGCGCGAAAGCCAGGGGAGCAAACGGGAUUAGAUACCCGCGUAGUCC
This 292-nucleotide ribosomal RNA is filed under the name uncultured bacterium. RNAcentral's name for it is "partial 16S ribosomal RNA". It matches the Rfam family "Bacterial small subunit ribosomal RNA", at positions 505 to 796 of the family's 1533-position model. The record is from RNAcentral.